AGGGCCUGCUCUCUGGCUCAUAGAUGGUGCCUUCUUGCUGCAUCUGCAUGGUAAAAGGGGUGGUGAUCACAAUGCUGACCCGAGAAGAAAAUUGCGAGUAGCAAUGAUGCAGAGGUCUCCCUGCAAGCUACAGUUCAGAAAUUUAAGCCUUCUAGAAAGAGAAUCUUCAGAACAACCAAACCAUUUUCCUCAGCAAAGGACUGUACCAGGUACUCUUAACUAUCAAUUUACAGAGAAGGAAACUUGAACAGGUUUUUCACUAUAACUUGACAUUACCGUGGAGACUUGUCAAAUCAAGGCUUUCAUUUUUAUUUUAUUUUAUUUUUUGGCCCUUUGGCAAAUGACUUAGUGAUAGAAGACUCAGUAGCCUGAGAUCAGCAGAACAGAAAUUAAUUACUUAACAUUUAAGGAACUGAUUGAACAAUGUUUGAUGUUUUGCUUUUUAAUGGACAUAGGAGAAAUGCCAUGUCUUUCUUAUCUACCUCUAACUGUCAAUUUAAUUGGUUAUACUGAGCUAAGUGGAAUAAAA
RNAcentral lists this long non-coding RNA (529 nucleotides) under Homo sapiens (human). RNAcentral's name for it is "HSALNT0069944". The record is from RNAcentral. Lineage: Eukaryota; Metazoa; Chordata; Mammalia; Primates; Hominidae.